RNAcentral lists this ribosomal RNA (497 nucleotides) under uncultured bacterium. RNAcentral describes it as "partial 16S ribosomal RNA". It matches the Rfam family "Bacterial small subunit ribosomal RNA", at positions 28 to 507 of the family's 1533-position model. The record is from RNAcentral.
GAUGAACGCUGGCGGCGUGCCUAAUACAUGCAAGUCGAGCGAACGGACGAGAAGCUUGCUCCUCUGAUGUUAGCGGCGGACGGGUGAGUAACACGUGGAUAACCUACCUAUAAGACUGGGAUAACUUCGGGAAACCGUAGCUAAUACCGGAUAAUAUAUUGAACCGCAUGGUUCAAAAGUGAAAGACGGUUUUGCUGUCACUUAUAGAUGGAUCCGCGCUGCAUUAGCUAGUUGGUAAGGUAACGGCUUACCAAGGCAACGAUGCGUAGCCGACCUGAGAGGGUGAUCGGCCACACUGGAACUGAGACACGGUCCAGACUCCUACGGGAGGCAGCAGUAGGGAAUCUUCCGCAAUGGGCGAAAGCCUGACGGAGCAACGCCGCGUGAGUGAUGAAGGUCUUCGGAUCGUAAAACUCUGUUAUUAGGGAAGAACAAAUGUGUAAGUAACUAUGCACGUCUUGACGGUACCUAAUCAGAAAGCCACGGCUAACUACGUG